CAGCCGCCGCGGUAAUACGUAUGUCACAAGCGUUAUCCGGAUUUAUUGGGCGUAAAGCACGUCUAGGUGGUUAUGUAAGUCUGAUGUGAAAAUGCAGGGCUCAACUCUGUAUUGCGUUGGAAACUGCAUGACUAGAGUACUGGAGAGGUAAGCGGAACUACAAGUGUAGAGGUGAAAUUCGUAGAUAUUUGUAGGAAUGCCGAUGGGGAAGCCAGCUUACUGGACAGAUACUGACGCUAAAGCGCGAAAGCGUGGGUAGCAAACAGGAUUAGAUACCCGCGUAGUCCCUGUCUCUUAUACA
Molecule: ribosomal RNA, 301 nt
Filed under: uncultured bacterium
Lineage: Bacteria
Description: partial 16S ribosomal RNA
Rfam family: Bacterial small subunit ribosomal RNA
Source: RNAcentral